Molecule: long non-coding RNA, 285 nt
Filed under: Rattus norvegicus (Norway rat)
Lineage: Eukaryota; Metazoa; Chordata; Mammalia; Rodentia; Muridae
Description: long non-coding RNA NONRATT026901
Source: RNAcentral
GAUCGGCUGGUUGGAAGGUAGUGAGUUAUCUCAAUUGAUUAUUCACAGUCCGCUACAGAUUGAACUCCUGUUCUAUACUUUUUCCACUUCUCACUUCUGCACAUGACUAAGGAUAGAACAAGACAAAGCCCAUCUACCCUGGGAUUCCUCAGCCAGUUUCUAGCCCCUAUGCUCGAAUGAUGGUCCAGGAUGAAUAUAGAGUAAGACAAAGUCCAAGUACCCCAGGAUUCCCCUAAGGUGCUUUCAAUCACAACUGCAAGGCCACUGGUCUUGGGAUGAGAGAUC